GAAAAUAAGAUUAAAUAUAAAUAAUAUAAAUAUAUCUUUUUUAUAAAAUAAUUAGAUUCAUUUAUUUCCUAUCAAUUUAUUCAUUUUUCUUGAUUCUAUUUUUAAUAUUUAUGUAAGUUAAGAACAUCAAAAUUGUUGACUUUCAUUUUUUUUAUUGUAGUUGAAUAAAUAAGAUAUCAUUUGAUUAAAGUAAAUAAUAUCCAAUAAAAUUAUAUAAUUUUUGAAGGUUGCAUCUAAUUAUACUAGUGUGAGAGUGUGAGUAUUCUUUACAACGAAAACAACAUAUAAUAAUAUAAUAUAUAGUCGCUCUAAUAAUCUUACCAUAAGCCCAAACUCUGACAUAAUAAUCUCUCUCUCUUCUUAUCUAUAUCUAUGCAUUUUUUUUUUAAGUUAAAUAUGUUGAUAGUUGAUAAAAUGUCAUUUAAUCAGUAUAAAUUUUCUGUAAUUUGUUAGCAGGACAUGGAAUUGCUUGAAUGUACUAGAUAGUCAAGAAAACAAAACAUAAAAAAAAAAUAAGGGUAAUUUUGAAUUUUUAGAAAUUAAAAAAAGGUAAUAUAAAAAUAUAAAAUAUAAAAAUUUCAGCCCUUCAAUCCACGAAAUUGGUGGGUUGAAAAAUGCAAGGAUUUGGGAAAUAACAACAAAAAAAAUCUCUCAUACAUACUCUCAUCCCAAUCAACCUAAAAAUCUCCUAAAACAUUACUUUAUUUUACCCUCAAAACCCCUCCAUCCAAACAAUGCCUCAGGCUCCACAAGAACAAGGUCAUUCUAUGUUAGCAAGUCCUUGGUGAAGCGAGCCACAAACAUAAGCUGUAAGAAUUUCCACUCGGCACUUGCAAAUUCACGCAUGGAGGCAACUUUCACUUGAUGAUUCAGGAAGAUUUAGGCAUUGAAUCUACUAGCUGCAAAUGCCAAACACAAAGUU
Molecule: unclassified non-coding RNA, 922 nt
Filed under: Hevea brasiliensis (rubber tree)
Lineage: Eukaryota; Viridiplantae; Streptophyta; Magnoliopsida; Malpighiales; Euphorbiaceae
Source: RNAcentral